RNAcentral lists this small RNA (113 nucleotides) under Enterovibrio norvegicus DSM 15893. Its description in RNAcentral is "Enterobacteria rnk leader". It matches the Rfam family "Gammaprotebacteria rimP leader". Lineage: Bacteria; Pseudomonadati; Pseudomonadota; Gammaproteobacteria; Vibrionales; Vibrionaceae. The record is from RNAcentral.
AUGGGAAACCAUGGCAUCAGGGUCCAGUUGCAUUAAACCCCGUAAUUCGGGGUUUUUUAUUAUCUGAACAUGACCCAUUCGGAUGGAUAUCUGGGCUUUUAAGCCCUUUUUUU